UAGACCUAGUGGCGACGGGUGAGUAACACGUGAGCAACCUGCCCUAUACAACGGGAUAACACUGAGAAAUUAGUGCUAAUACGGUAUAAGACCACGCUUGGGCAUCCAAAGAGGGGUAAAAGCUGAGGCGGUAUAGGAGGGGCUCGCGGCCCAUUAGAUAGUUGGUGAGGUAACGGCCCACCAAGUCGACGAUGGGUAGCCGACCUGAGAGGGUGAACGGCCACAUUGGAACUGAGAUACGGUCCAAACUCCUACGGAAGGCAGCAG
RNAcentral lists this ribosomal RNA (267 nucleotides) under uncultured bacterium. Its description in RNAcentral is "partial 16S ribosomal RNA". It matches the Rfam family "Bacterial small subunit ribosomal RNA", at positions 87 to 354 of the family's 1533-position model. The record is from RNAcentral.